AGAAAAAUAAAAUUAUGUCCUUUUAUCAAAUUUUCAAUUUAAAAUUAAACCAAAUAACACUCAUCAAGUAUGAACCAUAUAAUUGUUUAAGGUUUUGAACGAUAUGUCGUUUAGAGGGAAGCGACCAUCUAUUUCUGAUUUGUUCAUUCUCAUCUGAAGUGCAUCGUCGUUCAACCAACAGUAAAGCAUCUUUUACUGAUUUAUUCAUUCUCAUCUGAAGUCGGCAAUUCCUACGGGGUAAUGGUGUUUCUGUUCAGGUAUGGCGUCAAGCAGGCCGUUGGCGUUAGAUCACUUCUAAGUCGGCUCUGAAAGGAGGAUCGGUGGAUAUAGGGUUACUUACUCUCAUUUUCAAUCUUCAGCAGCAUACUUCCUUCUCUAGAGAAGCAAGAACUCACUUCUCGCGUUUUAAGUGUCAGGAUAUCAAUCCCCUUCAUCGAUUCUUCUAAGGUUUUCAUCAUAUAUGUGUUAGUCCAAGCUUGUAUUGGUCAGGACUCAAGAGACCUUUUACUGAUCAGUGUGUUGUUAUGUGAAGGCGGUUUACACUAAUUUUGGGAGGAAUGGUGUUCAGUACCUCAAUGAAAUAGCUGUUAUACUUCCUAUUCAAAUUGAAAAUUUGAUCUAUGCUUACCUAGCUGAAGAGCCUUUCAAAUUUUGUUUCAGGUAUUCAAGUUUGCUUGCUUUACUUAGGUGUUCUCUCAUUUACAAAACUUAUCAAGACGAUAGUCUCUAGAACUUCAUAACUUGCAGGUCAGUGCAGCGGCAAAUUUUGGGAUGACUUGCAACUAGAUACAUUGUACCAUGUGGAAUUAUAACAGCAGUGGAGGAAGAACUUGGGGUUCAAAUCCCAGAUGACAAACCAACCCCAGAACUUGUUGACUACAUUGCAAAUGCAAAAUGAGAUUCAUGCUGUUGUCAGGUGAAAUCCUUUUCACAAAUUUGUUGUCUUCUCUUGCUAAUUGUUGAUGCAACUUUCAUUGGUAGUUUGUAAAAAUAUUCACAUGGCUAAGUGUAGACAUAUUUGCCACAUUCUGUGCUUUCCAAAAUUUGCACUGUUUCUGUGCUUGUAGCUUUAAUUAAAACUUACAAAAUGAAUAAAUAAAAUGUGGUCCUUGGCUGCAUAAA
Long non-coding RNA from Hevea brasiliensis (rubber tree), 1122 nucleotides. RefSeq lists it as uncharacterized. The record is from RefSeq and is a predicted model, not a curated record. The transcript is spliced from 3 exons. Lineage: Eukaryota; Viridiplantae; Streptophyta; Magnoliopsida; Malpighiales; Euphorbiaceae.